This is a long non-coding RNA of Lathyrus oleraceus (garden pea), 623 nucleotides long. RefSeq lists it as uncharacterized. The transcript has 2 exons. The record is from RefSeq and is a predicted model, not a curated record. NCBI's taxonomy places the organism in Eukaryota, Viridiplantae, Streptophyta, Magnoliopsida, Fabales, Fabaceae.
UAAUUGAACUUUAUUCAACACUUUACUUUUCAUUGCACACCCUAAAAACACCUAUUUUGAUUGCCUUUGAUAAACACCAUAACAAUAGAUAACGAUAGAUUGACACUUGGUCUCUGUGGAUUCAACAAUCUUUUAUAUUACUCUGACGCCUUCGUAUACUUGCGAAAAACACUCAUCAGCUCUCAAGCUCUAUCCAGAUCCACAACUGAUUUCACAAGAUUCGUAUCCUAGGUCUGUAACCGAAUCAAUAAUUAUCAAGAACCCUAGGUAUCUAUGUCCAAAUUAAACACCAAUCACAUUACGACGCACUCGCUGACCUUAGGGUUACGGUCACUCAAUGUCUAUUCAACCGGCUGAUAACGAGCAAUGGAGAAAAAUGGGAAGUUCAAGAUACCUACCGGAGUAGUUUGAUGGUGAGGACGACGACGGAGUUGCCGGACUUGUGAGCUAUGAAUGAAUGGCUUGGUCGAAUUGAGUUUAUGAAAUUUCCUUGAGUUACUUGAUGCAUUGUCGAUGUUGCUUGAUGUUUCCCAACUGGUUUUCAUGUGGAUUGUGCAGAUUGCUUUGGUGGUGAGUAGAAUGGUGAGGGCUUGUGUUCAGGCCGCAUCACUUUGGCUUGUGCA